CUCUGACCUAGGGGAGCCUAAGUGGCCUGAGUGGCUCUCCUGUCUUCCUGUGGCCUGGCCGACUCCUCAGCGCUGGCGUGGACCCCAAUGCCACCCCUCAGAAACGCCUUCCCUCUGCGACCCGCUUCCUCACGUCCCCAGACAGUGCACACCGUGUGUGUGGUUCCUCUCGGGAAGACAGUCCCCCACGGGCCUUAGCUCUGGUCUUCUUUCCUGCCCUCAUCAGGAACAAUGGCACGGCGUGCCACGAGGAGCUGGGAGGCGGUCCCCAGAGGCCAGAUCUUCCCUAUGUCUUCUGUCCGCCAUCAGUCCCCACAACCAGACCUGCUCCCAGGCCUCUGCCUCCCUUGCCCAGGAGGAGAAUCAGCAAGAAGUGGGAUUCCCCGCCCAGUUAUCAGAAAGGGGGAAAUGAACCUGAUUACCCAGCUCCAGUCUGGGCCGGAUGCUGAUUGAACUAGGAAUCUGAUAGAAAGUUUGCAAAAUUAGGAGGAUUUCUUCUUCUGGUGGGAGAUGCCACGGUGUAUCAGGUGGGUGGGGUUUUAGUCUCUGUGCUCUAGCCAUUAACGUGCUGUGCGAUUUGGGGCAAGUGACUUGCCUUCUCUGGUCCCCGCUUCCUCCUCUGUAAAAUGGUGUGUAAGUCCCCUUGUGUUCUCAUACCCUAAGAGCUCUCUGGGUACCUGUUAUCUUCAUUCAUUCAUGUAGGACUUGUGGGGUGUUUAAGCCCAGGUCCUUUUUUCUCCUCUGCAGUAAGAGGGGAAAUCACACCACGGCAUGCCCCCAACCAAAACCCUCCACGACCUCCUGUCCCAUUUAGAGUAAGGUCCUUACUCCUCAUCUGGGUAUAGGCCCUGCCUGAUCUGGUGCCUGCACUCUGACCUGUUAGAGUCCUCUAACCCCACACUCUGUGCUGGGAUCCACCUACAUCUGCCGGGGCCUCCCUCUAGAGCCCAAACCUUUGCUCACCUCCUGGGCCUUUGCACUUGCUAGAAAGUGCUUGGCGCUUUUCUCAGUUUCCUCCAAGACUGGCUUCUUCUUACCCAACAGGUCUCAGAUCAAAUGUUGCCUCCUCCAAGAAGUCCUCCCUGACUACCUAUAAUCCCCAACCCCAUUCCACUUCAAGUCUCCCUCUCAUCACCCUAGGAUAAAAAAAGGCUUUUAAGUAACUUUUUUUAAAGUAAAUUUUUAAGUAAAAUGUAAAAUCCACAGACCACACGCAUGCCUAUGUGUCAUAAGAGUACGGAUGAUGGGUUUUCACAAACCAAACACACCCAUAUAACCAGCACCCACAUCAAGAAGCAGAGCAUGACGCAUGGGGGGGGAGCGGUCAGUGAAGGACCGUCAUCUGGACCAGCAUCCACGCUUACCCCAGGAGCUCUGGGGGCAUCCGGGAGCACAGAGAGGGAGGAGUUGAGUGGGGACACACGGUGCUGGGGUCCUCGCAGAGGAUGUAGGCCAGAGAGGGAGGGCUGAGACCUGACUGGGGCCUGCAGGACUCAUUCCUGAGCACAUGUGAGCACACCUUGUGUGGUGGGCCCUGUGAGGAGACCCCCUCCGGGCCCUGGGCCGGCAGAGCUGGAGGGGCCGUGGAGGACAUGGGCUGGAAAGUGCCUCCACCAGGAUGGUGGUGGGAGUGUCCCAGAGAGGGCCGGAGGAUGGAUGGAGCCAGGGGAGGGGGCAAUGCUGAGGCUGCGGUGUGGGGAGGGGACACCUCCUGUGUCCAGGGCCAGGGCCAUCACAAAAAUCAGCUCCUCUCCCUUACGGCCCCCUGUGAGGUGGGGGACGGGGCCCCAUUCCCACGGGAGGGAACUGGGGUGCCUCGGCUCUGCUCUGUGAUGCUCUGAGGGCAUCUCCAAGGACCCGCACUCGGGAUCUCCCCAAGACGAAGCAGUCACGGCAGGGAGAGGGUCGCAGGUUGGGGACAUUUCGUUUUCUUUUGUAAAAGCGGUCUCUUGGCUAUUGUUAUGACAGUGGAAACAGAGCACUUCCACAGACCGUGUUUCGCCAGGGAUGUGGUCAGUGUUUUCCCCUUUGGAUGAAUUCCCCCGCAGAGAGAUUACAGGUGGCUGAGUCACUGGGCGCGCUGCUCCUGGGCUCCUGCCGCUCUGUCCCUGCCAAGGCCCCCCUCGGCCUCCUGGAGCGCCGGGGUGUGUGCGGGGAAUUCUCCGAGACCAUGUGCCCAGCGGUCCUGGACGGCCUCCAGGACACGCAGGGCUGGGAAGCAGGGGACAGCGGGUGGCAGUGGGGGAUAGGCCUGGCUCGGGAGCCCCCUUAGAGCUGCAUCCCCACCCUGCCACAGAUCGUGUGUGUGUGUGUGUCUCAGGGAGGUCGGAGCAGGGUUGGCGGCCAUCCAGCUUCCUCGGAGCACCGUUUGCCUCUUUAAAUCUUGAACGCAUGUUACUUGGAUAUAUAUAUGCAAACUAAACACCAAAAGACAGAUACUUUUACAAAUUUGACAGUUGCCAAGAGCUUCAUGGGUGCCCGGUCCGACACUGCCUUCCUUGCCCCUCAGGACGAGUGUUACCAGGGCUGUGUUCUCGGAACUCAGCCCGAGCGGUCGGGGAGGUGGGAUGGCAUGAGCCUGGGGCCGGGUGCAUGCAGACCUGCUCUGGGUCCUGCGCUGUCAGUUCCUGUGUGACGUCAUGGCAGUGACGUAAGCUCUGUUUCUCUCGCCUGUGAAUGGGAUGGUGAUGCUCACCUCGCAGGGCUGCUGGAGGGUCAACUAGAAGAUUCCGGUAAAGCGUCCGCCGUGUACAGGA
Molecule: RNA transcript, 2756 nt
Organism: Mustela erminea (ermine)
Lineage: Eukaryota; Metazoa; Chordata; Mammalia; Carnivora; Mustelidae
Gene name: basic proline-rich protein-like
Exons: 3
Source: RefSeq, a predicted model, not a curated record